RNAcentral lists this unclassified non-coding RNA (350 nucleotides) under uncultured fungus. RNAcentral describes it as "partial contains small subunit ribosomal RNA, internal transcribed spacer 1, and 5.8S ribosomal RNA". The stretch from base 1 to 73 matches the Rfam family "Eukaryotic small subunit ribosomal RNA", at positions 1759 to 1831 of the family's 1831-position model. Lineage: Eukaryota; Fungi. The record is from RNAcentral.
GCAAACUUGGUCAUUUAGAGGAAGUACAAGUCGUAACAAGGUAUCCGUAGGUGAACCUGCGGAUGGAUCAUUACCAAAGGAAACUUUUUUCCCAAUGUUUUGUGAAUAGUUUUGACUAUAUUGUGCGGCGGUGGGGUGUUGUUUGUGGGGGAGAUGGUGUGUGAUGGUGUGGAUUUUGGGCGGUAUGCUCAGCGCGCCCACUCACACCCCGGAUCCCUGCACCCGCGCCCCCCCCGCCUCCUAUAAGAAACCGUAAUUUUUAAACUGAAGUCUGCUUUAGAGAUUGUAAAAAACUAAAGACAACUUUUAGCAACGGAUCUCUUGGCUCUCGCAUCGAUGAAGAACGCAGC